RNAcentral lists this transfer RNA (73 nucleotides) under Bos taurus (domestic cattle). It matches the Rfam family "tRNA". Rfam says of the family: Transfer RNA (tRNA) molecules are approximately 80 nucleotides in length. RNAcentral also lists the same sequence under 2 other names. The record is from Rfam by way of RNAcentral. Lineage: Eukaryota; Metazoa; Chordata; Mammalia; Artiodactyla; Bovidae.
UCCCUGACAGUCCCGUGGUUAAGACUCUGCACUUCCAAUGCAGGAGACGAGGGUUCCAUCCCUGGUCAGGGAA